GGGUUGUGAGGUUAAGCGACUAAGCGUACACGGUGGAUGCCCUGGCAGUCAGAGGCGAUGAAGGACGUGCUAAUCUGCGAUAAGCGUCGGUAAGGUGAUAUGAACCGUUAUAACCGGCGAUUUCCGAAUGGGGAAACCCAGUGUGUUUCGACACACUAUCAUUAACUGAAUCCAUAGGUUAAUGAGGCGAACCGGGGGAACUGAAACAUCUAAGUACCCCGAGGAAAAGAAAUCAACCGAGAUUCCCCCAGUAGCGGCGAGCGAACGGGGAGCAGCCCAGAGCCUGAAUCAGUGUGUGUGUUAGUGGAAGCGUCUGGAAAGGCGCGCGAUACAGGGUGACAGCCCCGUACACAAAAAUGCACAUGCUGUGAGCUCGAUGAGUAGGGCGGGACACGUGGUAUCCUGUCUGAAUAUGGGGGGACCAUCCUCCAAGGCUAAAUACUCCUGACUGACCGAUAGUGAACCAGUACCGUGAGGGAAAGGCGAAAAGAACCCCGGCGAGGGGAGUGAAAAAGAACCUGAAACCGUGUACGUACAAGCAGUGGGAGCACGCUUAGGCGUGUGACUGCGUACCUUUUGUAUAAUGGGUCAGCGACUUAUAUUCUGUAGCAAGGUUAACCGAAUAGGGGAGCCGAAGGGAAACCGAGUCUUAACUGGGCGUUAAGUUGCAGGGUAUAGACCCGAAACCCGGUGAUCUAGCCAUGGGCAGGUUGAAGGUUGGGUAACACUAACUGGAGGACCGAACCGACUAAUGUUGAAAAAUUAGCGGAUGACUUGUGGCUGGGGGUGAAAGGCCAAUCAAACCGGGAGAUAGCUGGUUCUCCCCGAAAGCUAUUUAGGUAGCGCCUCGUGAAUUCAUCUCCGGGGGUAGAGCACUGUUUCGGCAAGGGGGUCAUCCCGACUUACCAACCCGAUGCAAACUGCGAAUACCGGAGAAUGUUAUCACGGGAGACACACGGCGGGUGCUAACGUCCGUCGUGAAGAGGGAAACAACCCAGACCGCCAGCUAAGGUCCCAAAGUCAUGGUUAAGUGGGAAACGAUGUGGGAAGGCCCAGACAGCCAGGAUGUUGGCUUAGAAGCAGCCAUCAUUUAAAGAAAGCGUAAUAGCUCACUGGUCGAGUCGGCCUGCGCGGAAGAUGUAACGGGGCUAAACCAUGCACCGAAGCUGCGGCAGCGACGCUGAUGCGUUGUUGGGUAGGGGAGCGUUCUGUAAGCCUGUGAAGGUGUACUGUGAGGUAUGCUGGAGGUAUCAGAAGUGCGAAUGCUGACAUAAGUAACGAUAAAGCGGGUGAAAAGCCCGCUCGCCGGAAGACCAAGGGUUCCUGUCCAACGUUAAUCGGGGCAGGGUGAGUCGACCCCUAAGGCGAGGCCGAAAGGCGUAGUCGAUGGGAAACAGGUUAAUAUUCCUGUACUUGGUGUUACUGCGAAGGGGGGACGGAGAAGGCUAUGUUGGCCGGGCGACGGUUGUCCCGGUUUAAGCGUGUAGGCUGGUUUUCCAGGCAAAUCCGGAAAAUCAAGGCUGAGGCGUGAUGACGAGGCACUACGGUGCUGAAGCAACAAAUGCCCUGCUUCCAGGAAAAGCCUCUAAGCAUCAGGUAACAUCAAAUCGUACCCCAAACCGACACAGGUGGUCAGGUAGAGAAUACCAAGGCGCUUGAGAGAACUCGGGUGAAGGAACUAGGCAAAAUGGUGCCGUAACUUCGGGAGAAGGCACGCUGAUAUGUAGGUGAAGCGACUUGCUCGUGGAGCUGAAAUCAGUCGAAGAUACCAGCUGGCUGCAACUGUUUAUUAAAAACACAGCACUGUGCAAACACGAAAGUGGACGUAUACGGUGUGACGCCUGCCCGGUGCCGGAAGGUUAAUUGAUGGGGUUAGCGCAAGCGAAGCUCUUGAUCGAAGCCCCGGUAAACGGCGGCCGUAACUAUAACGGUCCUAAGGUAGCGAAAUUCCUUGUCGGGUAAGUUCCGACCUGCACGAAUGGCGUAAUGAUGGCCAGGCUGUCUCCACCCGAGACUCAGUGAAAUUGAACUCGCUGUGAAGAUGCAGUGUACCCGCGGCAAGACGGAAAGACCCCGUGAACCUUUACUAUAGCUUGACACUGAACAUUGAGCCUUGAUGUGUAGGAUAGGUGGGAGGCUUUGAAGUGUGGACGCCAGUCUGCAUGGAGCCGACCUUGAAAUACCACCCUUUAAUGUUUGAUGUUCUAACGUUGACCCGUAAUCCGGGUUGCGGACAGUGUCUGGUGGGUAGUUUGACUGGGGCGGUCUCCUCCUAAAGAGUAACGGAGGAGCACGAAGGUUGGCUAAUCCUGGUCGGACAUCAGGAGGUUAGUGCAAUGGCAUAAGCCAGCUUGACUGCGAGCGUGACGGCGCGAGCAGGUGCGAAAGCAGGUCAUAGUGAUCCGGUGGUUCUGAAUGGAAGGGCCAUCGCUCAACGGAUAAAAGGUACUCCGGGGAUAACAGGCUGAUACCGCCCAAGAGUUCAUAUCGACGGCGGUGUUUGGCACCUCGAUGUCGGCUCAUCACAUCCUGGGGCUGAAGUAGGUCCCAAGGGUAUGGCUGUUCGCCAUUUAAAGUGGUACGCGAGCUGGGUUUAGAACGUCGUGAGACAGUUCGGUCCCUAUCUGCCGUGGGCGCUGGAGAACUGAGGGGGGCUGCUCCUAGUACGAGAGGACCGGAGUGGACGCAUCACUGGUGUUCGGGUUGUCAUGCCAAUGGCACUGCCCGGUAGCUAAAUGCGGAAGAGAUAAGUGCUGAAAGCAUCUAAGCACGAAACUUGCCCCGAGAUGAGUUCUCCCUGACUCCUUGAGAGUCCUGAAGGAACGUUGAAGACGACGACGUUGAUAGGCCGGGUGUGUAAGCGCAGCGAUGCGUUGAGCUAACCGGUACUAAUGAACCGUGAGGCUUAACCUUACAACGCCGAAGGUGUUU
This 2931-nucleotide ribosomal RNA is filed under the name Escherichia coli. Its description in RNAcentral is "23S ribosomal RNA". It matches the Rfam family "Bacterial large subunit ribosomal RNA". The record is from RNAcentral. Lineage: Bacteria; Pseudomonadati; Pseudomonadota; Gammaproteobacteria; Enterobacterales; Enterobacteriaceae.